Molecule: ribosomal RNA, 478 nt
Filed under: marine sediment bacterium ISA-7314
Lineage: Bacteria
Description: bacterial SSU rRNA
Rfam family: Bacterial small subunit ribosomal RNA
Source: RNAcentral
GGCAGUCAUAACACAUGCAAGUCGAGCGGUAACAGAAGAAUAGCUUGCUAUUCUGCUGACCAGCGGGGGACGGUGUGAGUAACGCGUAGGGAAUCUGCCCGGUAGCGGGGGAUAGCCCAGAGAAAUUUGGAUUAAUACCGCAUACGCCCUACGGGGGAAAGGAGGGGAUCUUCGGACCUUCCACUAUCGGAUGAGCCUGCGUGAGAUUAGCUAGUUGGUGGGGUAAAGGCCUACCAAGGCGACGAUCUCUAGCUGGUCUGAGAGGAUGAUCAGCCACACCGGAACUGAGACACGGUCCGGACUCCUACGGGAGGCAGCAGUGGGGAAUAUUGCACAAUGGGCGAAAGCCUGAUGCAGCCAUGCCGCGUGUGUGAAGAAUAACUUAGGGUUGUAGAGCACUUUCAGCGAGGAGGAAAGGUUAGUCGCUAAUAUCGGCUAGCUGUGACGUUACUCGCAGAAGAAGCACCGGCUAACUCCG